RNAcentral lists this ribosomal RNA (490 nucleotides) under uncultured bacterium. RNAcentral's name for it is "partial 16S ribosomal RNA". It matches the Rfam family "Bacterial small subunit ribosomal RNA", at positions 29 to 507 of the family's 1533-position model. The record is from RNAcentral.
AGUGAACGCUGGCGGCAGGCCUAACACAUGCAAGUCGAACGGCAGCACAAGAGAGCUUGCUCUCUGGGUGGCGAGUGGCGGACGGGUGAGGAAUGCAUCGGAAUCUGCCCAUUUGUGGGGGAUAACCUCGGGAAACCGGGACUAAUACCGCAUACGACCUACGGGUGAAAGCAGGGGAUCUUCGGACCUUGCGCAGAUGGAUGAGCCGAUGCCGGAUUAGCUAGUUGGAGGGGUAAAGGCCCACCAAGGCGACGAUCCGUAGCUGGUCUGAGAGGAUGAUCAGCCACACUGGGACUGAGACACGGCCCAGACUCCUACGGGAGGCAGCAGUGGGGAAUAUUGGACAACGGGCGCAAGCCUGAUCCAGCCAUGCCGCGUGUGUGAAGAAGGCCUUCGGGUUGUAAAGCACUUUUGUUGGGAAAGAAAAGCAGCCGGUUAAUACCCGGUUGUCAUGACGGUACCCAAAGAAUAAGCACCGGCUAACUUCGUG